Molecule: ribosomal RNA, 502 nt
Filed under: uncultured bacterium
Lineage: Bacteria
Description: partial 16S ribosomal RNA
Rfam family: Bacterial small subunit ribosomal RNA
Source: RNAcentral
AUUGAACGCUGGCGGCAGGCUUAACACAUGCAAGUCGAGCGGGGUGAUGGUGCUUGCACUAUCACUUAGCGGCGGACGGGUGAGUAAUGCUUAGGAAUCUGCCUAUUAGUGGGGGACAACAUCUCGAAAGGGAUGCUAAUACCGCAUACGUCCUACGGGAGAAAGCAGGGGAUCACUUGUGACCUUGCGCUAAUAGAUGAGCCUCAGUCGGAUUAGCUGGUUGGUGGGGUAAAGGCCUACCAAGGCGACGAUCUGUAGCGGGUCGGAGAGGAUGAUCCGCCACACUGGGACUGAGACACGGCCCAGACUCCUACGGGAGGCAGCAGUGGGGAAUAUUGGACAAUGGGGGGAACCCUGAUCCAGCCAUGCCGCGUGUGUGAAGAAGGCCUUAUGGUUGUAAAGCACUUUAAGCGAGGAGGAGGCUCUUUUGGUUAAUACCCAAGAUGAGUGGACGUUACUCGCAGAAUAAGCACCGGCUAACUCUGUGCAGCCGCCGCCGUAA